CCUACGGUAUGCAGCAGUGGGGAAUAUUGGACAAUGGGGGGAACCCUGAUCCCGCGCCGCCGCGUGAGUGAAGAAGUAUUUCGGUAUGUAAAGCUCUAUCAGCAGGGAAGAAAGAAAUGACGGUACCUGACUAAGAAGCACCGGCUAACUACGUGCCAGCAGCCGCGGUAAUACGGAGGGGGCAAGCGUUAUCCGGAUUUACUGGGUGUAAAGGGAGCGUAGACGGCGAUGCAAGUCUGAAGUGAAAGUCGGGGGCCCAACCUCCGGAACGCUUUGGAAACUGUAUGGCUGGAGUGCAGGAGAGGUAAGUGGAAUUCCUGGUGUAGCGGUGAAAUGCGUAGAUAUUAGGAGGAACACCAGUGGCGAAGGCGGCUUACUGGACUGUAACUGACGUUGAGGCUCGAAAGCGUGGGGAGCAAACAGGAUUAGAUACCCCAGUAGUC
This 443-nucleotide ribosomal RNA is filed under the name uncultured bacterium. RNAcentral describes it as "partial 16S ribosomal RNA". It matches the Rfam family "Bacterial small subunit ribosomal RNA", at positions 338 to 795 of the family's 1533-position model. The record is from RNAcentral.